GCCCAGACUCCUACGGGAGGCAGCAGUGGGGAAUAUUGGACGAUGGGGGGAAUCCUGAUCCAGCGACGCCGCGUGAGUGAAGAAGUAUUUCGGUAUGUAAAGCUCUAUCAGCAGGGAAGAAAGAAAUGACGGUACCUGACUAAGAAGCCCCGGCUAACUACGUGCCAGCAGCCGCGGUAAUACGUAGGGGGCUAGCGUUAUCCGGAAUUACUGGGCGUAAAGGGUGCGUAGGUGGUUUCUUAAGUCAGAGGUGAAAGGCUACGGCUCAACCGUAGUAAGCCUUUGAAACUGGGGAACUUGAGUGCAGGAGAGGAGAGUGGAAUUCCUAGUGUAGCGGUGAAAUGCGUAGAUAUUAGGAGGAACACCAGUGGCGAAGGCGGCCUGCUGGACGAUGACUGACGUUGAGGCUCGAAAGCGUGGGGAGCAAACAGGAUUAGAUACCCGAGUAGA
RNAcentral lists this ribosomal RNA (450 nucleotides) under uncultured bacterium. Its description in RNAcentral is "partial 16S ribosomal RNA". It matches the Rfam family "Bacterial small subunit ribosomal RNA", at positions 329 to 794 of the family's 1533-position model. The record is from RNAcentral.